GAUGAACGCUGGCGGCGUGCCUAAUGCAUGCAAGUCGAGCGAACGGACGAGAAGCUUGCUUCUCUGAUGUUAGCGGCGGACGGGUGAGUAACACGUGGAUAACCUACCUAUAAGACUGGGAUAACUUCGGGAAACCGUAGCUAAUACCGGAUAAUAUUUUGAACCGCAUGGUUCAAAAGUGAAAGACGGUCUUGCUGUCACUUAUAGAUGGAUCCGCGCUGCAUUAGCUAGUUGUUAAGGUAACGGCUUAUCAAGGCAACGAUGCAUAGACGACCUGAGAGGGGGAUCGGCCACACGAGAACUGAGACACGGUCCAGACUCCUACGGGAGGCAGCAGUAGGGAAUGUUCCGCAGUAGGCGAAAGCCUGACGGAGCAACGCCGCGUGAGUGAUGGAGGUCUUCGGAUCGUAAAGCUCUGUUAUUAGGGAAGAACAUAUGUGUAAGUAACUGUGCACAUCUUGACGGUACCUAAUAAGAAAGCCACGGCUAACUACGUG
RNAcentral lists this ribosomal RNA (497 nucleotides) under uncultured bacterium. Its description in RNAcentral is "partial 16S ribosomal RNA". It matches the Rfam family "Bacterial small subunit ribosomal RNA", at positions 28 to 507 of the family's 1533-position model. The record is from RNAcentral.